Molecule: ribosomal RNA, 449 nt
Filed under: uncultured bacterium
Lineage: Bacteria
Description: partial 16S ribosomal RNA
Rfam family: Bacterial small subunit ribosomal RNA
Source: RNAcentral
AAUGAACGCUGGCGGCAGGCCUAACACAUGCAAGUCGAACGGAUCCUUCGGGAUUAGUGGCGGACGGGUGAGUAACGCGUGGGAACAUACCCUUUGGUACGGAAUAGCCUCGGGAAACUGGGGGUAAUACCGUAUGUGGUCGAGAGACGAAAGAUUUAUCGCCAAAGGAUUGGCCCGCGUUGGAUGAGGUAGUUGGUGGGGUAAUGGCCUACCAAGCCGACGAUCCAUAGCUGGUUUGAGAGGAUGAUCAGCCACACUGGGACUGAGACACGGCCCAGACUCCUACGGGAGGCAGCAGUGGGGAAUCUUAGACAAUGGGGGAAACCCUGAUCUAGCCAUGCCGCGUGAUCGAUGAAGGCCUUAGGGUUGUAAAGAUCUUUCAGGUGGGAAGAUAAUGACUGUACCACCAGAAGAAGCCCCGGCUAACUCCGUGCCAGCAGCCGCCGUAA